CAGCCGUAAACAAUGUGCGUUAGGUGUGUCGGUAACCACGCGUUACUGAUGCGCCGAAGAGAAAUCGUGAAACGCACCACCUGGGAAGUACGGUCGCAAGGCUGAAACUUAAAGGAAUUGGCGGGGGGAGCACCACAACAGGUGGAGCCUGCGGUUUAAUUUGGAUUCAACGCCGGACAUCUCACCGGAUAAGACAGCUGAAUGAUUGCCGGGCUGAAGACCCUGCAUGACUAGCUGAGAGGAGGUGCAUGGCG
Molecule: ribosomal RNA, 254 nt
Filed under: uncultured archaeon
Lineage: Archaea
Description: partial 16S ribosomal RNA
Rfam family: Archaeal small subunit ribosomal RNA
Source: RNAcentral